UACGGAGGGGGCUAGCGUUGUUCGGAAUUACUGGGCGUAAAGCGCGUGUAGGCGGCUUUGCAAGUCGGGGGUGAAAUCCCUCAGCUCAACUGAGGAAGUGCGCCCGAAACUGCAGAGCUUGAGUACCGGAGAGGAUGGCGGAAUUCCCGAAGUAGAGGUGAAAUUCGUAGAUAUCGGGAGGAACACCGGUGGCGAAGGCGGCCAUCUGGACGGAUACUGACGCUGAGACGCGAAAGCGUGGGGAGCAAACAGG
Molecule: ribosomal RNA, 253 nt
Filed under: uncultured bacterium
Lineage: Bacteria
Description: partial 16S ribosomal RNA
Rfam family: Bacterial small subunit ribosomal RNA
Source: RNAcentral